This 305-nucleotide ribosomal RNA is filed under the name uncultured bacterium. RNAcentral describes it as "bacterial SSU rRNA". It matches the Rfam family "Bacterial small subunit ribosomal RNA", at positions 337 to 657 of the family's 1533-position model. The record is from RNAcentral.
GCCUACGGGAGGCAGCAGUGGGGAAUAUUGCACAAUGGGGGAAACCCUGAUGCAGCGACGCCGCGUGAGUGAGGAAGUAUUUCGGUAUGUAAAGCUCUAUCAGCAGGGAAGAAAAAAUGACGGUACCUGACUAAGAAGCACCGGCUAAAUACGUGCCAGCAGCCGCGGUAAUACGUAUGGUGCAAGCGUUAUCCGGAUUUACUGGGUGUAAAGGGAGCGCAGGCGGUACGGCAAGUCUGAUGUGAAAGCCCGGGGCUCAACCCCGGUACUGCAUUGGAAACUACCGGACUGGAGUGUCGGAGGGG